UUUCACCCUGCAAUUGUACAUCAGCGUAUCAGUUUCAGUUUUUCCUUUUCUUUCGGUUGUAAAGUCAGCAUACUAGUUCAUUGAGAUCUUAUUUGAAAAGUAAAGCUUUUGUAAACUGUAUUAUAAUAGAGUUUACAGGCUACAUCAGGUGAAUUUUUUUUUUUUUCAAGCUUGAACAACAUCAACUCAUGACAGAGAAUAGUACAGUGAUUGAGAAAGCUUUACAGCACAAGAAAAGGUCGAGCCAUGAGCAUAAAAUGAGCAAAAUCGAUCUCAUGGUUUCCGACUGUCCAAAUCCAAGGCUGGUAGGCGGCGCUUCUCUCAAUAAACCGGCUCCAGGUAUCCCAUCUCACAUUGUCAUGAAACGGGUAGUCAUCGGCAUAACUGAGGUCACCCACAAAAAGCAACGCCCCAGAGUUCGAAUUGGAGUCGUAGUGUGAGAGCGUAAUGUUUGAAUCAUAAGUUUGCCCAAGAUCACCUGCACGAAAGAACUUAGAUUGCAUUAUAGUACACAAAAACCGACUAGACUUGGUGCCAAAAUAACUACGGCAAGGAAUGUACAUCCAUAAGGUGCUCUGAAAACUUUAUAGGUGUUAAGAUCUCGUUUGGUGUCGACAUUAAUAGUGCAGGAAUUGAUGUACUCUAAUUUACCAUGAAUAUGCAGAUUCGGCUUACCUGUUUUGUGAAUAACAAUUUCUAUUACACUGACAUCGGUUCUCGAAA
Ananas comosus (pineapple) is the source of this 723-nucleotide long non-coding RNA. RefSeq lists it as uncharacterized. The transcript has 2 exons. The record is from RefSeq and is a predicted model, not a curated record. Lineage: Eukaryota; Viridiplantae; Streptophyta; Magnoliopsida; Poales; Bromeliaceae.